RNAcentral lists this ribosomal RNA (401 nucleotides) under uncultured bacterium. RNAcentral describes it as "bacterial SSU rRNA". It matches the Rfam family "Bacterial small subunit ribosomal RNA", at positions 355 to 774 of the family's 1533-position model. The record is from RNAcentral.
UGGGGAAUAUUGCACAAUGGGCGAAAGCCUGAUGCAGCAACGCCGCGUGAGCGAUGAAGGCCUUCGGGUCGUAAAGUUCUGUCCUCAAGGAAGAUAAUGACGGUACUUGAGGAGGAAGCCCCGGCUAACUACGUGCCAGCAGCCGCGGUAAUACGUAGGGGGCUAGCGUUAUCCGGAAUUACUGGGCGUAAAGGGUGCGUAGGUGGUUUCUUAAGUCAGAGGUGAAAGGCUACGGCUCAACCGUAGUAAGCCUUUGAAACUGGGAAACUUGAGUGCAGGAGAGGAGAGUGGAAUUCCUAGUGUAGCGGUGAAAUGCGUAGAUAUUAGGAGGAACACCAGUUGCGAAGGCGGCUCUCUGGACUGUAACUGACACUGAGGCACGAAAGCGUGGGGAGCAAACA